AGAGUUUGAUCCUGGCUCAGAACAAACGCUGGCGGCGUGUCUUAAGCAUGCAAGUCGAGCGGCAAGGGCAGCAAUGCCCCUAGAGCGGCGGACUGGUGAGUAACGCGUGGGUGAUCUACCUUGGGCAUGGGGAUAGCCAUUAGAAAUAGUGGGUAAUACCGAAUACGUUCGUUACCGUGAGGGUAACGAGGAAAGGCGCUACGGCGCCGGCCUGGAGAUGAGCUUGCGUCUGAUUAGCUAGUUGGUGAGGUAAUGGCUCACCAAGGCGAUGAUCGGUAGCCGGCCUGAGAGGGUGUACGGCCACACUGGGACUGAGAUACGGCCCAGACUCCUACGGGAGGCAGCAGCUAAGAAUAUUCCGCAAUGGACGAAAGUCUGACGGAGCGACGCCGCGUGGAUGAUGAAGGCCGAAAGGUUGUAAAGUCCUUUUGCUGGGGAAGAAUAAGCGUGGGAGGGAAUGCCCGCGUGAUGACAUGAACCGGCGAAUAAGCCCCGGCUAACUACGUGCCAGCAGCCGCGGUAACACGUAGGGGGCGAGCGUUGUUCGGAAUUACUGGGCGUAAAGGGCAUGUAGGCGGCUUUGUAAGCUUGGCGUGAAAUUCCACGGCUUAACCGUGGGAAUGCGUUGAGAACUGCGAGGCUUGAGUGACGGAGAGGGAGCUAGAAUUCCUGGUGUAGGGGUGGAAUCUGUAGAGAUCAGGAAGAAUACCAAUGGCGAAGGCAAGCUCCUGGCCGAUGACUGACGCUGAGGUGCGAAAGUGUGGGGAUCAAACAGGAUUAGAUACCCUGGUAGUC
RNAcentral lists this ribosomal RNA (795 nucleotides) under uncultured bacterium. Its description in RNAcentral is "bacterial SSU rRNA". It matches the Rfam family "Bacterial small subunit ribosomal RNA", at positions 8 to 795 of the family's 1533-position model. The record is from RNAcentral.